RNAcentral lists this long non-coding RNA (5554 nucleotides) under Sus scrofa (pig). RNAcentral describes it as "lncRNA (ENSSSCG00000058811.1)". Lineage: Eukaryota; Metazoa; Chordata; Mammalia; Artiodactyla; Suidae. The record is from RNAcentral.
UUUGCUUUUCCUGUGUAUAAAAUUCUUUUUCCGUUGCACCGAUUGUUAUGAAUGUACCAGUUAGGAAUGUGUUUGGCCACAAACCACAGAAAACCCAACCGUUGCUUAAAGAAACAGGAGUUUAUUUUACUCACAUAACACAAGAGCUUAAGGUAAACAGUUAAGGAGUCUUGGUGUAGCAGCUUGAGAAGGGCAGGGGAUGUGUCUUUUGCAUCUUGUGCCCUGGUCUUCAAAAGAUGCCCACGGCAGCACUAGCCCCCUGUCAGCAUUUUGACAAGAAGGAGAAGAGAGGGGAGAGGAGUGCCUAAACCCCUCUAGAGACCAAGCCUGCUUCUCACUAGCUGCAACCUUUGUCACUCCAUCAUCUCCCGGUGGCAAGGAAGGAGCAGUGGUGGAGGGGGAUAAGAAUGAGAGUCAGGUCAGCCAGAUGAGUCUGUUUCCUCCCCUGGUUUGUAGUACAACUGUUGGUUUGUGUGUGUUGAUCUCAUAUCAGCUGCCAUACUAAACAUUCUUAUUAAUUUUAGGAACAUUUUGAUUGACUCCCUUGCAUGGUCCAGAGAAAUGACAGUCUGUCUCUUUGGUUCAGGAGCUGUACCUCAUUUUAUUUAUUUUAUUAUAUAUUUUAUUUUUUAUUUUCUGUGGCAUAUGGAAGUUUCCAGGCUAGGGGGUGAAUUGGAGCUGCAGCUGCAAGUCUACAUUACAGCCAUAGCAAUGACAGAUUGGAGCUGAGUCUGUGACCUACAUUGCAGCUCAUGGCAAUGACAGAUACUUAACCCGCCGAUCAAGGCCAGGGAUUGAAACUGCAUCCUCAUGGAUACUAGCUGGGUUCCUUACCACUGAGCCAUAACAGGAACUCCAAAGAUGUGGACACUUUUUUUCUUUUUUUGGCCACCCCAAGGCAUAUGGAGUUCCCAGGCCAGGGAUCAGAUCUGAGCUAUAGUCACCACCUAAGCCACAACUUCAGCAACACUGGAUCCUUAAGCCACAGUACCAGGUCUGGGAUCCAACCUACUUUCCAGCACUCCCAAGACAUUAUAGAUCCCAUUGCACCACAGCAGGAACUCCUCAUUUUAAAAGGUAUUUUUUGGGAGUUCCCAUUGUGGUGCAACAGAAAUGAAUCCAACUAGGAAGCAUGAGGUUGCGGGUUCGAUCCCUGACCUUGCUCAGUGGGUUAAGGAUCUGGCAUUGCCAUAAGCUGUGGUGUAGGUCGCAGACAAGGCUCGAAUCUAGCGUUGUUGUGGCUGUGGCAUAGGCUGGCGGCUACAGUUCCGAUUAGACCCCAACCCGGGAACCUCCAUGUGCCACGGGUGUGGCCCUAAAAAGACAUAAAAAUAAAAUAAAAAGUAUUUUUCUUUGUGGUCUAAUUGCACUGGGUGGCAUCCUGUUUUUGUCUUAUGGAUGCAGUCGCCUUUUAGAUCUUUUCGAAGAUGUUCAUCGGAAUAAUUUGUUUUGUUUUCUUUCCGUCCCUUAAUAAUCUUGAAUCCUCGAGGAAGUUCUUCAUUGUUGUUUUGUUGUUAAAGGCUGUUAGUUUUCCCUCAGUAUUUAGUAAACCUCAGUUGUUUAUUUAACAUGAAUAGUCAUGGAAAGACUAGGUUCAUUAAUAGAGGCGGCUAAUACAGGUCUCCUCUUGAUGCAGUAUUUACCUGUUUCCUCUGCCCGAGGGGGCUGACCGGGACUGGUUGGCUUCCUUGAGAUGCACAGGCAGGUAGCACAUUUGCUUCCUGGGCAGAGGUCUUUCCCUAUCACAUCUUCCCUUUCUUCGUCUGUUCUAAAGGUCUGAAGUUACUCAUACUCUACCUUCCUCCCUUUUAAAAGCUUUGUACGCACACAGGAAGCCCACGGGCAGGAUAUUUCUUAAGAGAGGUGUUCUGAGAGUUUAGCCAGGAGUUAAAAGCAGCUCCUGCCAGUAGCUCUGCAUAAACCAAGAGAAAAGGGACACCUGCCAGCCUCUGCUGUUCCAAGGGGAGUUCUUUAGGGAACCCUCAAGUCCUCUCCAGAGCCUCCUCUUAAGACUGAGACUUCUCUGAAUUUGUACUUCUCUCCUACUCCUGGUCUGGGCUGUUUCUUUCCCUCACAUCCUGUUCUCAGUCAACACCACUCAUUCCCUUUCUAUCUUCUAGGAUUCUUUAGACUUUCUUGUCAGCAGACAAAAUUUCCUUUUAUUUUUUAGUAUGCAAAUGAAUUUAUUUUGCUUAAACUGUCUGUCUUUUUAGAAACUUCAGGGGUGGUGGGGGGUGUAGAUGCAUGUGUUUGGGCUGCCAUCUUGAUUCACAGUUCCCCCCAGGGUGAUCCUAACAAAAUCAUUUACAUGUGGCCACUUCACAAGGCAAACAAAACACAGCUGGGUGGUGAUUAAUUGUUAAGUAACCAUUCUGUACUCUGUAAAUCUUUCAAUAAUAAAAACACUGUCAGUUUGAUGUAUAAUGAUGCAUUUUUAAGCCUCAUUUUGAAGAAAUGAAUGUUGAUACUUUAAAGUACUGAUUGACUGUUUCUCAAAGUGUUCCCUUCCCACCACCCUGCUAAAUUGAUGUUUGUCUGCAUUUUGUGUACUUGUCUCACUCACCUUGGAGACAAUUUCUUUAAAAAAAUUUUUUGUAGCUAGAUCUUUUCUGACAAUACAAAAUUUCCUGAAUGGGAUGCUUAGAUAAUAUUGAUGCCUAGGAAUUAUCAAAAGAAGUUCAAAUUCUGUAGUUUGUUGUUAUUCCUUCUUUUCUUUUGCCUGAGGGUCGAAGAAUCUUUUCUGUUUUCUUCCGAAAUGAAAUGUUCCAUUAAAGGGAGCUACUGUAUUACCAUAACAAUAUAUUUUGUGUUCAGCUCACUUCCAGGGGUGACUUGCCUAUCCAGCAGGAAAGCCCUGAAAGUUCAUCUGAUGACUAGACUGAUAAAGUUCAGUGCAAAAGGAGGACUAACUUCCUUGCUAACCAUGGAGUGUAGGAUCAAGUCAUUGUCACUAUAAACCCAUGACACUCUCUAUAGUUAUAUGUGAAAAUAAAAAGGAAUAAAACAUGCUUGUUUCAGUGGUGGGCUCUGUUUUCCCAUCCUCAAAAACUUUAUAGUAUUAAAAUGUUCCAAAAAUUGUGCCACGUGAAACAAGCAUCCAAAAACAAGACACCAUGCCCUGAAAUAGUAAAGUUAAAUGGCAUCUAUAAUUCAAAGCUUUUCUAAUACAGUAUUGCCCAAGAUUCCACAAAUGAGAACACCUUCUUAAUUCUCUCUACUUAUUUUAUCUACUUAUUUUAUUUGGAAGGGACAGUAGUAUUACACCCGUUGGUAUAGAUGAGCCUGAGUGAAUAAUCAUGCUAGAAAUUAUUGAAUAGCUCAGUACAGUAGACUUAAAAAUAAUAGCAAGUAUCCCUUAUCUGUUAGUUCUAGAACUUAUUAGUUUACUAUUACCAACUUGGAAAUAUAUUUCUAGCACUUCGUUCAGAGAAAGGGAUGUUAUUAAAUACAUGACUGUAACUUAGUCUGCGUUGGCCUAGUUUGUAAGCCGGAGUUUGGAGGGAGAAUACAUUGAAUUUUUUUGCUAAAUGGGGUUUUAGGAUUACUUUAGAGGAAAUGAUAAUUCCACAUAUGGCUUUCAUUCUGGUUAGUUUUCGAUUAUGGAUUCUACGCUUGUUAGUAAGUGUUCCGCCUUCUUAGAACUGGGCAUCUCAAUGGCCAAGAGAGAAUGUAAGAGUCUUUGGACAAACAGUCUUGUUGGACCAGAAAUGUUGUCAGUAUUUCCUCAAAAAAGCGAUCUGAAUGUUUGUCUUUAUUCUAAUUUAAAUCACACGGUGAUUUACUAAGGCUUUAAAAAUGCAAUUUAAUCCUGUUCAGUUGUCAAAGAGGGGUGAACAUACAAUGAAAUGAAUUAACUAGGCCAAUCAUAAUCAAACACUGAAGAAAACCAAGCAGACUCCAUAUGCCAAGGGUUUUGCAAACAGAUCUCAUCCUGCCUGGGAAGACUUGACUGUGUGACUGUGUGUGUGUGUGUGUGUGUGAGUUAACUGGGGGAGGUAAGACAUCCUUAAGGAAGGAGCAUUACUCCUUUCAGGAGAUCUGUUCAUGUGACUUUCAACAAAGCAUCACUAAAGCCGUCAGUGUAUUACCUGAGAAGCUAAAUUCUUCUGGGAUCUGAGGACAGAAUUUGAAGCCACAAUGAAGGCAGCCUCUUCUCAUCUUACUUGACUAAAGGUGACACUCUUAUUCUCUCUGAGGAUAAUUUGUUCAUUUGCAAAAAUAGCAUUGUAUCUGGAACAAUCACUGAAUAUUCCCUAAACUCAAGCUGAGAAGUAUUGCUGUGAAGGGGGGCAGCAGGAUAGCAUUAAGAAGAGAGGAUCCAGGCUAAGACAUUGUAGCCCUCCCUAUAGGCUGGCUUUUCUACUGAUUACUUAUGUGACCCUGGGCUUACGGGAAGUUAUGAGUGACCCAACUGCAGUGAGUUCUGGGUUCCCUCAUCUGUAAAAUGGAGAUAAUGACCUCAUGAUGUUGACCUUCAGAUUAAGCGGUAUAAAUAAAAUGCUUAGCACACUGCAUGACACACUGUAAGUGCUCAAUAAGCAUUAACAAUGAUUAGUACUAUUAUUAUUAAAGCAAUGAAAAAUAGGAAAACUUUGCUUUAUGCAGUAAAUACUUAAUGAGCAUUUACUAUGUGUGAACCCUUGCUAGAGACUGGAGACCAGGACUCUGCAGCUCUUUUGGUUACAGAAGUUAAUUUCUGCUUCCUGAUUUUUGAAGGCAAAACUUUACAGUACAGCAUUGCCACAUUAAAAAAUUUAAGACUCAUGUAUUUUAGUUACGUUAAAUGAAUGACUGCAGCAACAACAAAUUCAAGUAUACUUCAGCUGACUUCUGUCUCAAAUGCAAUAUGGGUAGGAGAGUUGUAUUCAGGAUUGUAGAUGAAAGAAAGGAGCCCGUAUUACACACCUCUGGGAUUCGUUUGCAAGGAUUAUGAUUUUUAUUUUUAUUCCCCUCACUGUUUGAAAUCUGAUACCUGCUAAGAUGUUCACAUAUGGAGCUACCACCUAAGAUGUGGGUUUGUGUCUGUUUGAGCAUGGAAUCCCCUUGACAGUUAUGUUUGCUUAUGCAUCUCUAACAGCUGGAGGAAGAAUCACCUCAGGCUAUGGUGUGUGAUCUGUGUCCCACCCUAUGCACCCGGCCCCCGCCCCCCGCAACCACAGUGAGUGCACUUUGAGGUCCACCUUCCUGGAGAAGGAGCUUUGGAGCAUGGUGACUGGGGGCUGGGGACUUGUCUGGGCUUCUCAUUAAUCUCUGAAGAUGGGAGGGUAAUCCCUUUACAAAUAUGGGAAUGGGGGCUGCUCCGAGGCUGGCAAGUAAUAAGCAAUGAGGAUUUUUUUUUUUUGUCCUGGAUUCCUCCAUCCCUCCUCUCUGCAGUCCUCAGCCAUAACUCAGCCCUUGUCUUCCUCUCUGAAGGAUUUAAAUGGAAUGAUCUUAAUUCUCGCUUUGUUUGCACUCUAUCUUUUAAGGAGCUGCCAUGAAGACCAAGACAAACAGUAGAUUAACAGUGGUACCUUUUAUAAAGCUGAUUAGUUCCUAAAAUAUGCCGAAAGGAAAC